Molecule: ribosomal RNA, 2904 nt
Filed under: Escherichia coli
Lineage: Bacteria; Pseudomonadati; Pseudomonadota; Gammaproteobacteria; Enterobacterales; Enterobacteriaceae
Description: bacterial LSU rRNA
Rfam family: Bacterial large subunit ribosomal RNA
Source: RNAcentral
UUAAGCGACUAAGCGUACACGGUGGAUGCCCUGGCAGUCAGAGGCGAUGAAGGACGUGCUAAUCUGCGAUAAGCGUCGGUAAGGUGAUAUGAACCGUUAUAACCGGCGAUUUCCGAAUGGGGAAACCCAGUGUGAUUCGUCACACUAUCAUUAACUGAAUCCAUAGGUUAAUGAGGCGAACCGGGGGAACUGAAACAUCUAAGUACCCCGAGGAAAAGAAAUCAACCGAGAUUCCCCCAGUAGCGGCGAGCGAACGGGGAGGAGCCCAGAGCCUGAAUCAGUGUGUGUGUUAGUGGAAGCGUCUGGAAAGGCGCGCGAUACAGGGUGACAGCCCCGUACACAAAAAUGCACAUAUUGUGAGCUCGAUGAGUAGGGCGGGACACGUGGUAUCCUGUCUGAAUAUGGGGGGACCAUCCUCCAAGGCUAAAUACUCCUGACUGACCGAUAGUGAACCAGUACCGUGAGGGAAAGGCGAAAAGAACCCCGGCGAGGGGAGUGAAAAAGAACCUGAAACCGUGUACGUACAAGCAGUGGGAGCACGCUUAGGCGUGUGACUGCGUACCUUUUGUAUAAUGGGUCAGCGACUUAUAUUCUGUAGCAAGGUUAACCGAAUAGGGGAGCCGAAGGGAAACCGAGUCUUAACUGGGCGUUAAGUUGCAGGGUAUAGACCCGAAACCCGGUGAUCUAGCCAUGGGCAGGUUGAAGGUUGGGUAACACUAACUGGAGGACCGAACCGACUAAUGUUGAAAAAUUAGCGGAUGACUUGUGGCUGGGGGUGAAAGGCCAAUCAAACCGGGAGAUAGCUGGUUCUCCCCGAAAGCUAUUUAGGUAGCGCCUCGUGAAUUCAUCUCCGGGGGUAGAGCACUGUUUCGGCAAGGGGGUCAUCCCGACUUACCAACCCGAUGCAAACUGCGAAUACCGGAGAAUGUUAUCACGGGAGACACACGGCGGGUGCUAACGUCCGUCGUGAAGAGGGAAACAACCCAGACCGCCAGCUAAGGUCCCAAAGUCAUGGUUAAGUGGGAAACGAUGUGGGAAGGCCCAGACAGCCAGGAUGUUGGCUUAGAAGCAGCCAUCAUUUAAAGAAAGCGUAAUAGCUCACUGGUCGAGUCGGCCUGCGCGGAAGAUGUAACGGGGCUAAACCAUGCACCGAAGCUGCGGCAGCGACGCUUAUGCGUUGUUGGGUAGGGGAGCGUUCUGUAAGCCUGUGAAGGUGUGCUGUGAGGCAUGCUGGAGGUAUCAGAAGUGCGAAUGCUGACAUAAGUAACGAUAAAGCGGGUGAAAAGCCCGCUCGCCGGAAGACCAAGGGUUCCUGUCCAACGUUAAUCGGGGCAGGGUGAGUCGACCCCUAAGGCGAGGCCGAAAGGCGUAGUCGAUGGGAAACAGGUUAAUAUUCCUGUACUUGGUGUUACUGCGAAGGGGGGACGGAGAAGGCUAUGUUGGCCGGGCGACGGUUGUCCCGGUUUAAGCGUGUAGGCUGGUUUUCCAGGCAAAUCCGGAAAAUCAAGGCUGAGGCGUGAUGACGAGGCACUACGGUGCUGAAGCAACAAAUGCCCUGCUUCCAGGAAAAGCCUCUAAGCAUCAGGUAACAUCAAAUCGUACCCCAAACCGACACAGGUGGUCAGGUAGAGAAUACCAAGGCGCUUGAGAGAACUCGGGUGAAGGAACUAGGCAAAAUGGUGCCGUAACUUCGGGAGAAGGCACGCUGAUAUGUAGGUGAAGUCCCUCGCGGAUGGAGCUGAAAUCAGUCGAAGAUACCAGCUGGCUGCAACUGUUUAUUAAAAACACAGCACUGUGCAAACACGAAAGUGGACGUAUACGGUGUGACGCCUGCCCGGUGCCGGAAGGUUAAUUGAUGGGGUUAGCCGCAAGGCGAAGCUCUUGAUCGAAGCCCCGGUAAACGGCGGCCGUAACUAUAACGGUCCUAAGGUAGCGAAAUUCCUUGUCGGGUAAGUUCCGACCUGCACGAAUGGCGUAAUGAUGGCCAGGCUGUCUCCACCCGAGACUCAGUGAAAUUGAACUCGCUGUGAAGAUGCAGUGUACCCGCGGCAAGACGGAAAGACCCCGUGAACCUUUACUAUAGCUUGACACUGAACAUUGAGCCUUGAUGUGUAGGAUAGGUGGGAGGCUUGGAAGUGUGGACGCCAGUCUGCAUGGAGCCGACCUUGAAAUACCACCCUUUAAUGUUUGAUGUUCUAACGUUGACCCGUAAUCCGGGUUGCGGACAGUGUCUGGUGGGUAGUUUGACUGGGGCGGUCUCCUCCUAAAGAGUAACGGAGGAGCACGAAGGUUGGCUAAUCCUGGUCGGACAUCAGGAGGUUAGUGCAAUGGCAUAAGCCAGCUUGACUGCGAGCGUGACGGCGCGAGCAGGUGCGAAAGCAGGUCAUAGUGAUCCGGUGGUUCUGAAUGGAAGGGCCAUCGCUCAACGGAUAAAAGGUACUCCGGGGAUAACAGGCUGAUACCGCCCAAGAGUUCAUAUCGACGGCGGUGUUUGGCACCUCGAUGUCGGCUCAUCACAUCCUGGGGCUGAAGUAGGUCCCAAGGGUAUGGCUGUUCGCCAUUUAAAGUGGUACGCGAGCUGGGUUUAGAACGUCGUGAGACAGUUCGGUCCCUAUCUGCCGUGGGCGCUGGAGAACUGAGGGGGGCUGCUCCUAGUACGAGAGGACCGGAGUGGACGCAUCACUGGUGUUCGGGUUGUCAUGCCAAUGGCACUGCCCGGUAGCUAAAUGCGGAAGAGAUAAGUGCUGAAAGCAUCUAAGCACGAAACUUGCCCCGAGAUGAGUUCUCCCUGACCCUUUAAGGGUCCUGAAGGAACGUUGAAGACGACGACGUUGAUAGGCCGGGUGUGUAAGCGCAGCGAUGCGUUGAGCUAACCGGUACUAAUGAACCGUGAGGCUUAACCUU